CUCCAGAUGUCCCCCUGGUUUUGGGUGUGUGUGUCCCUGUGGUGGUGGUGGUGGUGGUGCUGUCUGCUGUUCUGCUGCUCUUCUACAAAAAGAGGACUGAGCACUCUGAUGGUUCUAACAAGAGAGGAACCACAGACAUCACCAGGACUGAGAUUGACCUGUAUGAGAACUGUGCUCCACUCUCCACCCGUGCAGACUCCAUCUACCAGAGUCUGGAUCCAGCCUCCAGGGAUCCGGACCACAUCUACUCUACUCUCUCUUAGAUACAACAUCAAUAAG
Etheostoma spectabile (orangethroat darter) is the source of this 279-nucleotide long non-coding RNA. RefSeq lists it as uncharacterized. The record is from RefSeq and is a predicted model, not a curated record. NCBI's taxonomy places the organism in Eukaryota, Metazoa, Chordata, Actinopteri, Perciformes, Percidae. The transcript is spliced from 3 exons.